This 367-nucleotide ribosomal RNA is filed under the name uncultured bacterium. RNAcentral describes it as "partial 16S ribosomal RNA". It matches the Rfam family "Bacterial small subunit ribosomal RNA", at positions 523 to 893 of the family's 1533-position model. The record is from RNAcentral.
AUACGGAGGAUCCGAGCGUUAUCCGGAUUUAUUGGGUUUAAAGGGUGCGCAGGCGGCCAUUUAAGUCAGCGGUUAAAUCGUGGGGCUCAACCCCAUUCUGCCGUUGAUACUGGGUGGCUUGAUUGCGGUCGAGGUUGGCGGAAUUCGUUGUGUAGCGGUGAAAUGCAUAGAUAUGACGAAGAACACCGAUUGCGUAGGCAGCUGACCAGACCGCAAAUGACGCUCAUGCACGAAAGUGCGGGGAUCGAACAGGAUUAGAUACCCUGGUAGUCCGCACAGUAAACGAUGAAUACUUGUUUUCGGCGAUAUAAUGUCGGAGGCAAAGCGAAAGCGAUAAGUAUUCCACCUGGGGAGUACGCCGGCAACG